Long non-coding RNA from Cervus hanglu yarkandensis (Yarkand deer), 2497 nucleotides. The record is from Ensembl. Lineage: Eukaryota; Metazoa; Chordata; Mammalia; Artiodactyla; Cervidae.
GAAAGUUGUACUGAUUUCAUUCAACUUACCAAUAUUUUCAGUUUCCCCAGACCUUCACCCAGUGUAUCCUUUUAAUGAGAACUUAUUAAACGUUUUGGGGAGUCUCUUGCCAGAAUCAUCAGUCUUUUUACCUUACCUCUUCUCCCUUUCAGAAUCUACAGAGGAAAUUUCCCUCAUCUCAUGUAUAGGUCCAGGGUAAAACCUUAGAACUUAGGGAUAUGGGGAAGGACUGCUGCAGCUGCUGCCAAGUCACGCCAGUCGUGUCCGACCCUGUGCAACCCCAUAGACGGCAGCCCACCAGGCUCCCCCGUCCCUGGGAUUCUCCAGGCAAGAACACUGGAGUGGGUUGCCAUUUCCUUCUCCAGCGCAUGAAAGUGAAAAGUGAAAGUGAAGGCACUCAGUCGUGUCCGACUCUUCGCGACCCCAUGGACUGUAGCCCGCCAGGCUCCGCCGUCCAUGGGAUUUUCCAGGCAAGAGUAGUGGAACGGGGUGCCAUUGCCUUCUCCUGGGGCAGGACUAGCAGGGCCAAAAAACGGACAAGGCCCUGUAUUUGUCAGCAUAGGACAAAGGGCUGCUCCGGGACCCACCGUGAUGAAGGCUGCGCUGCUCCUUUGCUGUGUCUUGCUGUCCCCAGUGGCUGCCUUCCCAAGAAACGCCCCGGGAGGGGCCCUGACCUUCCAGCAGCCUAUCUCAGAAAUUGGGCAUCCUCUGAACCUGCUCUCCAACCAGAUCCCUCUCCCAGAUCCUAAAACCUGCCAGCAUCUCUUGUAUGUGGCCCCCUCCCCCCUCCUUAGCCCCUCUGCUUGAGCAUCUAUCCAACUCAGCUUUGGAGGUGGUCCUGGAAGAGGCUGGUUGCACAAGCUGAGGCUCACAUUCUGCAGAUUCAGCUUGUUAAGACAGGAGAAAAGGACCGAACCCCUCAUCCGUGAGAGCAAAAAGCACAACAAAGGAAAAGGCACUGGCAAUGCUAAAGUCAUUCUGAGGAAUCUUGGGGGACCCCCAGGGAGGACUGGAUGAAUCAAAAACUCAGCUACUUACCUUGAGAGGUUUAUUAAUGAUGGUGAAUACAACCCUUUGGGCGGGCCGGUCUGCCAGUUAACCUGGAUGGCGACUGAACUCGCUGAGAAGCCAUCUCCCAUGUUGUGUAACACAAUUCAGAGCUUUUGGAAUCAACCUCUUCUAGAACUGCCAGUAUGAGUCUUGGGAACUAGUUGGAGAAUUAGGUAAAAAGCUUAAAACAUCCCCAAGUUAAGAGCCUCUCAAUGUCUAUGGAUGACAACAACAUGAUUUAUAAAAUGUUCUACAGCUAUUCUGAAGUGCUUUAUGGAGAAACUGAUUCAGGAACUUGUCCAGAUUCUUUACUGCAGAUAUUCAAUGCCACACUGUAAACAGGUCUGCUCUCCCAGGACGGUGUUCAAAGAUGGGACAGGGACUUCCCUGAUGGUUCAGUGGUUAAGAAUCUGCCUUCCAAUGCAGGGGACGCAGGUUUGAUCCCUGGUCUGGGCACUAAGAUCCCGCAUCCCACAGGUUAACUAAGCCCAUACACCCUCAACCAUGCACCACAACUAGAGAGAAGCCCACACAAUGUAACGAAGACCCUGGUGCUGGAACAAAUACCAAACAUAGGCAAAUAAAUAAAUAAGAUGGGACACAGUAAGUAGGCAGAAAUGUUGGACACUACUUAGAACAGAUAUACUCUAUUUCAUCCCAGUGCUGGCUUUAACCUUGCCCUUCUCCACCUGGUAGCUCUCAGUCCUUAUUUCAUAUUCUAUUUUUCAUUUUUUCUUUCAGUUAGCAUAUACUGUGCCUGUAAUACAUCUCAGCAUGAGAAGCAUUUGAACUUUUUUCCUCAUCCAUCCCCCUGUAAUAAAUCCCCAAUGAGACACUGUAGCUUGCUAAUUUAAUUUUUAAACUGAAAAGAGAAAUAAAAGGGAAUCAUAGACAUCUAAUCUCUUCUGAUUCUGGGUCUCCCAGCUUCUAUCAUGAGCUAAAGUGGGAACGUGGCAGGGACUGGUUGGAAAUGCCAAAUGCCGAAGUUUUUAGAUACUGAGGCCAAGUGUGGGACAAGUGCACAAAGUCUGAGAAGCCAGAACAGAGGAACAAAUAUUUGCAGAGAUUACAUCUCUUACUGAUACUAGAGGAAAGCCAGUACAUCUGCUCUCUUCGUGGGGCAGAGGAGUCGGCAGAACAGGAUCGAGGAGCUACCAAAUCCAUCAAGGCGGUCUCACUUCUGAAUCACUGGACUGUGUGGUAAUUUGGAGCUCCUUAUAAAUGGGUGGGAAUCAUGCUGAGGAAGACCUGAAGAUGGAGAAGGUCAAGUGGGAACAAUUGGGUUGAGUUUCCUGUUUUUUAGUCCUUUAGCUAAAAAAGAUCAGAAGUUUGGAAGUAACAGGUGAGGUUCGCCCUGAGUCCUGGGCUCCUUUCGGACCACAGCCCUUAAGGAGACAGUUUGUAUGUUUCUGGUUUCUCCUCUCUCCAGUCCACCCUGCUACGAACC